GAAAGCUUUGCUCUGUACAGUUGAAAACGAUGAAGCAUUGUGCAGAGC
This 48-nucleotide non-coding RNA is filed under the name unclassified sequences. The record is from Rfam.